UAGCACUUGGUUCUGUUGGCUGGGAAAUUCAGGAUCAGGCAGCUGUAUCUGGUGGGUUCUCAUGACUGCCUCAUGCUGCAUCAAAACAUCGUAGAGAAACAGAAGGGGACCGAGUUUGUGCAAACAAAAAGCGCAAAAUAGAAGAGGCAGCACUGUUUUAUAACAACUCACUCUCUUGGGAACUAACCAUUCCCAGGAGAACCCAGUCUCAGUGUCAAGAGAAAGAUGUUAAUCCAUCUUAGCAACCUAAUUACCUCUUAAAAGCAGCAUCUCCCAACACUAUUACAUUGGCAAUUGAACUACAACGUGAGUUUUGGAGGGGCCAAACAACAUCCAAACCAUAGCAGCAGGUUUAAAGGUAAAAGGAUGGGAGAAAAGUACACAGAAAGAUAUUCUGGAGAAAAGGCACAGAGUGAGCCAAGGCACAAGGUAAAAUGUUUGACUGGUUAGAGACGCUAGAUUAUUUUGUGUGGCUAAGACAAAACAAAGCUGGUGGGGAGUGGCAGGAGGUAAGUCUAGAAUGGCACAAUGGGGCCAGACUGCGAAUGGCAAACUGAAGUAUGUGAUCUUUUAUUCUAAAGAAAAUGUAGUAUGAUUAGCACAAAAAAAAGAAAAAUUAUUGGCCGGGCGCAGUGGCCCAUGCCUGUAAUCCCAGCACUUUGGGAGGCCGAGGAGGGUGGAUCAUGAGGUCAGGAGUUCAAGACGGUGAAACUCCAUCUCUACUAAAAACACAAAAAUUAGCCAGGAGCUGUGGCAGGUGCCUGUAAUCCCAGCUACUCAGUAGGCUGAGGCAGGAGAAUCACUUGAACCCGGGAGGUGGAGGUUGCAGUGAGCUGAGAUCGCGCCACUGCACUCUAGCCUGGGCGACAGAGCAAGACUAAAAAUAAAAAUGAAAAAAUUAUUAUCCAUGGUAUUAUCAUGGUAGUACUGACUAAAAGAGGGACACGUGUAACAAAAUCAGUAAGGAGGGUACUCCAAGAAUCCAUGUUAAAGUUAAUGAGGGCUCGAACCCAAACAUAAAGGAUGGAAAUGAUGUAAUAAAAUACCUUUUGAAAGUUAUAUUUAAAAAUUUUUGGUGAAUAGUCUAGUUAGAGGUGAAAGAAGAAAGCAGAGGAGUCUAAUGCAAUGCGUGACUUGUAGCUCAGGUAAAGGGGUGGCAGGUGACGCUUAAAUACUAGAAAUAUAAGAAGCAGCACAGGUUUGGUUUUAUCUGUGAGAACAAUGGAGUGGAGGUAUGCUUUAGAUGCAAUUAUUUAUGGGAUAUUCAAAACAGAUAUCUAUGAAGCAAAAAACUUGGGCCCAAAAAACAAGUUUGAAGGUAUAUUUGGGAGUUACCAGUAAUAUAGGUAACUGUUGAAGCUCUAAAUAUAGAAGACAAACUAGAGGAGCUUGUUUCUUGAAGAAUUCUUGUCACACUUGACAUUUUUUACAGAGAUUUCUUAAAACAGGGGCAUAUCUUCUUUGGCUAACAUAUGCAGACUAAAAUGAAAGAGUAUAGUAUAUUAUAAAAUCAAUAAAAGGUAAGAUAAAUUGAGGCCUAAAAAUAAAGAAUAAAUACACUCAGUUGAUUCUGAAGCUCUAAUUUACAGAUGCAAAAUUGUACCAGUACAUUAACUCAUAUGUCAAAACAACAUCUAGAGAAACAAAAAAUGAAAGUAAAAUGGAAAAAGAUAAAAGAAGAGAGGCAAGGAGAAGAGAAUGGGCAAAAGGAGAUAGGAAAAACAGGAAUUUUUUUUUAAAGGGCUAAAAUUUUAGUGAAUCAGAUGUGGAAAACAGUUGGAUUAACAUUGAGAUCAAAUGAGAAAGGAGCAAAUAAGGAAAGAUGUAUUACAAACCAAGAGUAAAAAAGGGAAAACAAAAUAACAAAAGCAAAAACUAUUUAAAAAGAAUAAAGGAAGACGUGAUAAUGAAGUAAAUUUAAAAAGUACGGAAUAAUAAAAAGAAAUUGCAAAAAAUACCUUUUGAAAAUAAACAUACUAAUAACUUGACAAUAAAGUGAAAUGUGUAAGACAAACAUAUCUGUGUCAUUAUUUAGGAGUAGUGAAAAGUACUCUUAAAUAAUAAUUUGGUAUCUAGCAGGCCUGGAUUUGAAUCUACUUUAACUUGCUAGCUAUGUGACCUUGGGCAAGCAAAGAAACUCCUCAUAACCAUUGUAAUAAUACCACCAAAAUGCCUUACACUUACGGCUCAAAAAAUGAAGGAAAUGAGAGAAAAAAGUAUAGAUUACUAUAUGGAAGUCAAAUUUCUAGUGACUUUUCUAAUCCAAACAUGAAUUGUUACAGUACUUGAAAUAAACUUUAUGAGAACUGAGUGACUACAUUGCUUCAGAUAGUUUUAUACUGCUAGGUCAACGCUGCCUGACAGUAAUAAGAACAGGAUGUGGGAUUCAAUAUGCUCAUUCUAUCUCAAACUCUGUCACACAUACAAUGACUGCUAUUUACCUUCCUCCUGAGCCAUCUGGGAAAAAACCAACCAACCAAACAAACAAACAAAAGAAAAACCCACCAGGUAGGAGUCAGUUAGUUCUGCUAACUAACUAACCAAAAACCUUAAUUGUAUGGCCACCAGCACCCUAGCCCUUUGUCAUGAAAGCUACCAAUAAGGUGGAAAUUUAAAAUAUGAAAUAUUUCAUUAUACAUGUUUUAUUAAACCCUACAUGUGCAGAAAUGAUUGUCCAUUUUCCUUCUUAACUUGCUUUUGUAAGACUUAUUAAGUAGAAAAUAUAAAUCUCAAGCUCCUUAAAUGUGAUUUUGAGGAACUGAGACCAAAACAAUUUUUUGCUGUGGAACCAGAUCCUUGAAUGCACUACAGGAAAAUAUUAUUUGAUAUGAAAUUUUUUUGGUACACACAAUUUUUCAAAAAUAUAUCUCUCUCCACAAAGUUAAUUCAAAUUGUAGAAUUCUUCCAAGUCACAAAUGGAGUUUUCAAGGCUCUGGGUACUUACCUUUGAGUUCCACAUCCUUUAUCUCUGGAGCUCUUAACUGAGGGAACAUGGACCAUUAGGUCAUGAACAGACUUUGUAGUCUUUGAACAGCCUGAAACAGUAUGUGAUACUUGAUGUGCAUGUACACAGGAACAUUUUUCUAGAGUAAUGGCACAUACCUUUCAUCAGAUUUUCAAAGGUUUCUCAAAAUGCUCAAGAACCACUGUUAGAUAUUUAAAUAACCAGAGUGUACAGUGUCCAAAUAUUUCCAAAUUUUGACACUUGUAAGAUGUCUUAAUUAAAACAAGCCAUGAAGUUCAGCGUCACAAUAACCAGAAAAGCACUUGUGAGAGUAGUUCUAUGUCUUUACUUCCUAGUGGUUUACACACUCUUUAACCCAUAUGGCAAUCUGGCUUCUGUCUCCGGUGCUCUGGAAUUACUUCUGCCUGUAUGAUUAAGUUCCUCAUUGUUAAAUUCGAAAAUACAUUCUUUGGUAUUUAUUUGACCUCUUGGUGGUAAUAUAGUGUAAGAGCACAGACUCUGGAGCCAAACUGCCUAGGUUCAAAUCUUAGCUCUAUUACUUUCUAACUCUGUGACUUUGGGCAAAUGACUUAACUCUCUCAUGCCUCAAAGCAGAAUCCUUUGUAAGGUUUAUUUAUAUAGUGGUGUAAAGAGUACUUACUUCAAAAGCUUUGGUCAGUGUGAGAAAUAAGCUCCUAACAAAGAAAGUGUUAUGUAAUAGUUAUUAUCUGGUACCUCUGAUCACAUCAUUUUUGAAAAUCACUUGAAAUCUGCCUAAGUUUCAUUCUGCCUUUGAUGGCUCCUUAUUUUCAUCUCCCUACUUCAGGCUUCCUCCCUAAUAUAUCUUUUAUGCCAAUAUUAUGAUCACUUGAAACUAUAAAUCUGAUGCCAUCCUUGGCCACUACCAUUAAGAUGGUCUAAACUCCUCAGCAUGAUAGACAAGUCCCUUUAUGAUAGUGUACCCAUCUAGUUCUCAUUCCUCAAGUCUCCUCUGUUGUCUAUGCUUACCCUAUGGGCUAAGCUGAAUCAAGCUGUUACAUUUCCAAAACAUGCCUCACUGUCUUUAUUCAUGCCUUUGCACAUGCCAUUGACUCUUCCUAGAAUGCCCCAUUCUCCUUCUCUAGAAAGUCUUCUCUUAACAUACUUCUUCCCAAAAUAAAUUAGAUAGAAAUGUAUCUACAAAGGAUAUAUGUAUAUAAAUUAACUAGAUAACAAAACUUCACACUGAAGUGAACAUUCUACAAGUAUUUCUUUCAUUGCUGACCAUUAGGUUGCAGCAUGCAACUCUCAACAAUGAGCUGCCCCUCUCCACUCCUAUAGAAGCUCCAAAUACUAUGGUACCACUAUGUAGGUUUUCAGCCUUUCAAAGGCUUUUAUUAUGAACUUCAUCAUUACUUCAGCAGGAGCCUUUUAGGGACUUAAAAGCACUGAUUAUCUAUAAAAAGUAACUUCAUAUUUCAUGCACAAAAUUCCCAAUUGGCAGAUUUAGGUCCAUAAAAGAAAGGAAAAAAAUUAUUCUAGCUAUAUAAAUUAUCAGGAAUAAAAUAGCAUUUCUCCUUGCCUUGUUAUAAGGAAAUAAUAUAUUUUUCCUUACCAGGAAUCAGGAUAGUAUCUUUGAUGAUCCCUCAGGGUUAUAAAAUUGCUUACUGGUUAAAGUUUUUUGCCAAAGAUAUUAAGAAAUAAAAAGUUCGCUCAUUUUCCUGUGCAAUUUAAAGAAAUAUUUGCAGUAUGUACAGGAAUUUUAAGUUAUAUUGCAGACCCUGGCAAUAAUAUUUAAAAGGCCUAUUUUCCCCAUUAAAAAAUUUACCCCAUUAAAAAAGGUAAAAGGAAAUCUCCAUCAUCCCUGAGCAGAAAAGGAAAAAAUCAUGGGUACUUUAAUUAGUUAAUAGAAACCACUGUAAAUGAGUUAUCUAUCUCCAGAACAUUCUCAGAGAAUUUACACGAACUAAAACAGGAAUGAAGUGCUCUCAGAGACUUUUUCUCAGGUAAAUGUAUUUAGUAGUUUGAGUAGUUGAUCUGCAGAAACUUUAACUUUAAUUAACUACAUAGAUGAAUAUUUUUUAUUUUGAAAUUUGAGAAUGUCCUAAGAGGAUGUCUACAGGAUAUGAAACUACUGGGUGCAGGAAAAUUUUUUAAGUGUUAGCAAAUUGUGGCAAG
This 5101-nucleotide long non-coding RNA is filed under the name Homo sapiens (human). RNAcentral's name for it is "HSALNT0014135". The record is from RNAcentral. Lineage: Eukaryota; Metazoa; Chordata; Mammalia; Primates; Hominidae.